AUUGAACGCUGGCGGCAUGCCUUACACAUGCAAGUCGAACGGCAGCAUGGAGAGCUUGCUCUCUGAUGGCGAGUGGCGAACGGGUGAGUAAAGCAUCGGAACGUACCGUGUAGUGGGGGAUAACGUAGCGAAAGUUACGCUAAUACCGCAUACGCACUGAGGUGGAAAGCAGGGGAUCGUAAGACCUUGCGCUAUACGAGCGGCCGGUGUCAGAUUAGCUAGUUGGUAGGGUAAAGGCCUACCAAGGCGACGAUCUGUAGCGGGUCUGAGAGGAUGAUCCGCCACACUGGGACUGAGACACUGCCCAGACUCCUACGGGAGGCAGCAGUGGGGAAUUUUGGACAAUGGGGGCAACCCUGAUCUAGCCAGGCCGCGUGAGUGAAGAAGGCCUUCGGGUUGUAAAGCUCUUUCGGCCGGGAAGAAAUCGCACAGGCUAAUACCCUGUGUGGAUGACGGUACCGGCAUAAGAAGCACCGGCUAACUACGUGCCAGCCGCCGCUGUAA
This 504-nucleotide ribosomal RNA is filed under the name uncultured bacterium. Its description in RNAcentral is "partial 16S ribosomal RNA". It matches the Rfam family "Bacterial small subunit ribosomal RNA", at positions 30 to 523 of the family's 1533-position model. The record is from RNAcentral.